GGUUGAAUAACAUCAUUUGGAGAUACUACCCACAUGAAAAUAUAAUUACAAUAAAGUUCUUAUAAUGGCUUAUAGCACAGGGGACACUAUGUAUAGUGCCAUUUCGACUUGCAAAUAGAUCUAAGUGUCUUAACAAGAUGAGAAAAAAUU
Molecule: long non-coding RNA, 150 nt
Organism: Hibiscus syriacus
Lineage: Eukaryota; Viridiplantae; Streptophyta; Magnoliopsida; Malvales; Malvaceae
Exons: 3
Source: RefSeq, a predicted model, not a curated record